This is a small nuclear RNA of Marmota marmota marmota (Alpine marmot), 107 nucleotides long. The record is from Ensembl. Lineage: Eukaryota; Metazoa; Chordata; Mammalia; Rodentia; Sciuridae.
AUGCUCGCUUGGGCAGCACAUAUACCAAAAUUGGAAUGGCACAGAGAAGAUUAGCAUGGCCCCUUUGCAAGGAUGACAAUCAAAUUCGUGAAGCAUUCCACAGUUUU